CCAGUUGAGUUAAAAUGGAUUCAAUCAAAGGGAUCCCAUCCCCUCCAAGCAAUGAAGGAAGCAAGGAAGCUGUGGUUUAACUUGUAUUCUUGAAUUCUUGUUGGAAGCUUGUUUUUGUGGACCUAUUAUUAUGUCAUGUAGUCUCAGACCUAUCAUCUCUUUAUGUAGAAACUACGAAAAUAAAUCUCUCUGGUAAUGCAUCUGUCGUAUGAAUCAAAUAUCUUGAAAACACUGUCUCACCAAAAUGGAAUUUCCUGCCUUAGAGACUUAAAAUGCGGUGAGCUUUUCAUGAAAGUGGUCACCAAAUCUGUCAUUAUCUAUAUAUUUGUAUAAAUAUGUCAUGUAGUCUCAGACCUAUCAUCUCUUUAUGUAGAAACUACGAAAAUAAAUCUCUCUGGUAAUGCAUCUGUCGUAUGAAUCAAAUAUCUUGAAAACACUGUCUCACCAAAAUGGAAUUUCCUGCCUUAGAGACUUAAAAUGCGGUGAGCUUUUCAUGAAAGUGGUCACCAAAUCUGUCAUUAUCUAUAUAUAUGUAUAAAUAUACAUAUUUUGUUUAAUUUAUUUUUAAUAUAUAUUUUAUAUGAAUAGUUGAUUUUGUGUGUGUAUAUUUUUGUGUACAUUUAAGUUGAAUUAAUAAUUAUAAAGCUAAUAAAAUUUAUUACAAAAAAUGUUUGAUUUGCAACAAAGAGAGCC
This 693-nucleotide long non-coding RNA is filed under the name Arachis ipaensis. Its description in RNAcentral is "long non-coding RNA (AIPA_LNC001163)". The record is from RNAcentral. Lineage: Eukaryota; Viridiplantae; Streptophyta; Magnoliopsida; Fabales; Fabaceae.